UGCUGGGUGACUGUGGAGGACUGAAUGUUGUGAUUGGUGUGGGUCUAGGUGGACUGAAUGUUGUGAUUGGUGUGGGUCUAGGUGGACUGAAUGUUGUGAUUGGUGUGGGUCUAGGUGGCUGUUCAUUAGUGUGUGGUUAGGAUGCCGGGUGCCAGAGGCGGAUGGAGGUGAGAAGUGCUGGGAUGGUCGUUGAAAUAAUGUGUCACCUCUUUCUCCUCUUAAUUUCUCGUUCUCCUAUGUGUAUAUUUUUUUUAAAUGUAUUUAUUUAAAUUUAAUUUAAUUUAAUUUAAUUAAAUGUAUUUUGUUUUAUUUUAUUCUAUAUUAUUUGAUUUUAUUUUUGCGCAGUAUGGAGCGUAGACCCUUUUACAUUUCACUACACUUGUUGUAUGUGACAAAUAAAAAUACUUGAACUUGAACUUGAAUAUCUAAUGAUAGACAUAAAGGCUGCAGAGGUGGACAUGGUGGGAGUGAUUCUGGGUGUUAAAGCACAGCUAAGGUAGCCUACAGCUAACUGACAGUGCAAUUGCCCCUAAUAUGUUUCCUUCACUGUCAUUCACUUUUCCCAGGUAACCUACCCAUCUCCUUAUCUCUGUCCUACGGCUAGCUCUUUAAAUCACCAAUUUUUUUUUUUUUUUCUUACAAAUACUGUAACCAUGUAGUUGUUCACAGGUUGUCGCUGAGUUGAGCAUUAAUACAAUCCUUCCAGGGCUUAGUCAUCUACGGUAUUAGUCAUCUGCAGUGGGACCCAAGUUAGAUCCUCUCUGUGGACAGGAAUCUU
Long non-coding RNA from Clupea harengus (Atlantic herring), 778 nucleotides. NCBI's taxonomy places the organism in Eukaryota, Metazoa, Chordata, Actinopteri, Clupeiformes, Clupeidae. The record is from Ensembl.